This 375-nucleotide ribosomal RNA is filed under the name uncultured eukaryote. RNAcentral's name for it is "SSU rRNA". It matches the Rfam family "Eukaryotic small subunit ribosomal RNA", at positions 587 to 972 of the family's 1831-position model. The record is from RNAcentral.
AGCUCCAAUAGCGUAUAUUAAAGUUGUUGCAGUUAAAAAGCUCGUAGUUGAAUUUCUGUCGAAUCUGGCUGGCGUGCAUACAGCACUGCUUGGUCUGGUUUGAUAUCCUUCAGGUUGUUCAAACCGCUUAGUUGCGGAUUGUAUUUUCCUGGACAUUUACUUUGAGAAAAUUAGAGUGUUUCAAGCAGGCAUUUGCCUUGAAUACUACAGCAUGGAAUAAUAAGAUAGGACUUUGGUUCUUUCUUGUUGGUUCGGAGAACUGAGGUAAUGAUUAACAGGGACAGUCGGGGGCAUUCGUAUUUAACUGUCAGAGGUGAAAUUCUUAGAUUUGUUAAAGACGAACUACUGCGAAAGCAUUUGCCAAGGAUGUUCCCA